Molecule: long non-coding RNA, 278 nt
Organism: Sapajus apella (tufted capuchin)
Lineage: Eukaryota; Metazoa; Chordata; Mammalia; Primates; Cebidae
Exons: 4
Source: RefSeq, a predicted model, not a curated record
CCUGCAAAGUAAGAUUUUUAAAUGGCAUUCUUCAUUUGAUAAAACCAUUUCGUAUGAAGUAGUUUUUUUUUUUGUUGCUGUUGUUGUUUUGUUUUUUUAAUAAAGAGACCAGGGGAGAGCGCGAACGCAGUCCCCACUACCACAAAUCAUGCAGUCGAGUUUCCCACAUUUGGGGAAAUCGCAGGGCUCAACACAUCAGGAGUGCAAUGGAUAAGCCUCGCCCUGGGAAAACCACCUUCGUGAUCAUGGUAUCUCCCCUGCCAGAUGGGAAGAGCACA